Long non-coding RNA from Rhododendron vialii, 664 nucleotides. RefSeq lists it as uncharacterized. The record is from RefSeq and is a predicted model, not a curated record. NCBI's taxonomy places the organism in Eukaryota, Viridiplantae, Streptophyta, Magnoliopsida, Ericales, Ericaceae. The transcript has 2 exons.
UUUCUUCUGUUUUCAUCUUUUCUUUCUCUCUUCUCUUAUUCAAGUCCCUCUUUCAUGAGACCGUGGAGAGCACCUGAAGGCUGAAGGUUAUGGAUUUGAGAUUGCCCAUCUGCCGAAUCCUAACCCAAUCUGUAAUGGAUUGGCAAGUGGUAACACCACAAAAAGCGAAGGGGGAGAGAGAAUCGCAAAAUUGGGCUCCGUUUUAGUUUGACUCUGGUCUUUGAUCUUCAUCUACCUGUUAAUUGGGGAAGAGGUUUUCGGUUUCCUUCUAAAAUAAUUAUUGCUUUUUAUUAGGUUUCGUAUAAAAAUUGUUAUCACUCUCUGUGCAUGUAUAUAUUGGUGUUGAGUCUUGAGACAGGUGAUUUAUCUGUAUAGAUGGUGGAGGGAGGGAGGGAGAUACGUACAAAGGGCAUCGUGGACUUGUGGUAGCUCAGAUCCAGAAGGAAGAAAGAAAGAGGGGAUGAGAUGGAUUCGAAGAGGUUGCCGUUCUCAACUAUGGGUGUAAUCAAGGGGAGGAGGGAUGAUGGAAAGAGAGAGAAAGUGGGUUUGUUUUUGGUGAAGAGUAAGAAAAGAGAAGAACAGCAGAUGGGGAAAAACUAAUGAGGAUAUAACAGUCAUUGUACAGAAAUUAUCGUGGCACUAUAAAAUUUCAUCGUUGCAUUAG